AUUGAACGCUGGCGGCAGGCCUAACACAUGCAAGUCGAGCGAGAAAGGUCUUCGGACUGAGUACAGCGGCGGACGGGUGAGUAAUGCGCAGGAAUCUACCUGGUAGUGGGGGAUAACUCGGGGAAACUCGAACUAAUACCGCAUACGCCCUACGGGGAAAGCGGGGACCGUUCGGGCCUCGCGCUAUCAGAUGAGCCUGCGUAGGAUUAGCUUGUUGGUGAGGUAAAGGCUCACCAAGGCGACGAUCCUUAGCUGGUCUGAGAGGAUGAUCAGCCACACUGGAACUGAGACACGGUCCAGACUCCUACGGGAGGCAGCAGUGGGGAAUAUUGCGCAAUGGGCGAAAGCCUGACGCAGCCAUGCCGCGUGUGUGAAGAAGGCCCUUGGGUUGUAAAGCACUUUCAAUUGGGAAGAAAGGUUGCGUGUUAAUAGCACGUAGCUGUGACGUUACCUUUAGAAGAAGCACCGGCUAACUCCGUGCCAGCAG
Molecule: ribosomal RNA, 487 nt
Filed under: uncultured bacterium
Lineage: Bacteria
Description: bacterial SSU rRNA
Rfam family: Bacterial small subunit ribosomal RNA
Source: RNAcentral